RNAcentral lists this ribosomal RNA (254 nucleotides) under uncultured bacterium. Its description in RNAcentral is "partial 16S ribosomal RNA". It matches the Rfam family "Bacterial small subunit ribosomal RNA", at positions 524 to 776 of the family's 1533-position model. The record is from RNAcentral.
UACGGGGGGAGCAAGCGUUGUUCGGAUUUACUGGGCGUAAAGGGCGCGUAGGCGGCCUCCGCAAGUCAGUUGUGAAAUCUCCGAGCUUAACUCGGAAAGGUCAACUGAUACUGCGGGGCUAGAGUGCGGAAGGGGCAACUGGAAUUCUUGGUGUAGCGGUGAAAUGCGUAGAUAUCAAGAGGAACACCUGCGGCGAAGGCGGGUUGCUGGGCCGACACUGACGCUGAGGCGCGAAAGCGUGGGUAGCAAACAGG